Molecule: long non-coding RNA, 10701 nt
Filed under: Lupinus angustifolius (narrow-leaved blue lupine)
Lineage: Eukaryota; Viridiplantae; Streptophyta; Magnoliopsida; Fabales; Fabaceae
Description: long non-coding RNA (LANG_LNC001769)
Source: RNAcentral
UCUCUAUCUCAUCCACAAAAACCCUCUCUACUCUCUUCUCAUUUUCUCUUCUUCCUUUUUCUUCUUCUUCUUCUUCUGCUACUAUGCCUACUAAGGUUCUCUUAUCUCAACUUCGCACUUCUUUCACUUUCACCAUGAACCCUCUUUCUUCACGCGCCACGCUUCCCAUUUUCUCACCCAUCUUAUUCUCUUUCAACCUCAAACACCUUCCCCUCCAAAACGCACCGUUUCAUCUUCGCCCAUUAUCCACCCACAGUAGCAGUGGUAGCAGAGGAAAGGUUCGUGCUUCCAAGAGUCUUAUUGAUGAAGAGUCUGAACUCAGUGGCUGGGUUAGCGAGUUAAGGACCGAUUCCUACCGUGGUCGACUCACCAGUGAUGAUGAUGAUAAUAGGGACUCUGUCAGAGGAAGAGGAAGUGGAAUGGGAAGAGGAAGAGGCGGAGGAAGAGGAGGAGGAAGAGGAAGGGGUGGUAGUGGUGGCGGUGGUGGUGGUAGAAUCGAUGAGUCAACUCGGAGGGGAACUCGUGACUCGUUUGACUCUGGUAACCGAGGAAGGGGGAGUGUAAGUGGAAGAGGACGUGGAAGAGGAAGGGAUAUGAGGGGUGAGUCAACUCGGAGGGAAACUCGUGACCCGCUUGACUCGUUCUCAAGGAGAAAUUCAAGGGCUAUUCAGAAUUUUAAUGGUGAGAAAGAUGAAUUCCGUUCUUCAAGGAAUAAUAAUAAUAAUAGUGAUAAUAGGGAAGCUGUGUUUGGGAAGAGUAGUAGAAGAGGAGUGGAAUUGAGGAACGCAACUAGAAUGUCUUCUCAAUCGAAGAGUGAGGAAGAGGAUGAGGAUGAAGAUGAUGAUGAGGAUGAGGUGGUAGAUCGGUUCAAUAGUCGUGGCUUCGAUGAAUUUCUCAGUGAUGAUGAUGAUGAGAGUGAAGGUAGUGAGGAAGAUGAUGAGAUAUUGAGUAAGAGCAAAACUGCUUUGUUUGGAAAUGAGAAAACAACUCCAAGAGCUGCUUCAUCUGGGGGUUCUGAGUCUUAUUUGAGUGAUACCAGGUAUGUAUGUUAUUCCGAAAUUAGAAUCGAAAAUGAUCAUUAUAAUUUAAGUAUUGGGUCUUGUUUGUUUGCCUUAAAGCUAAGCACUUUCAGAUUUUCUAUGGGUGAUAGUCAAUAGUCAUACACUAACCUAAGGCAGUUUUUGGUUGCUGUGAUAGCUAAGGAUUGAGCACAAUGUUUGGUAUAUUUUACAAAUAGAACAAAACAGGAGUUAAAAGAAUGAGACCUUAUUUUCACCAAAAAGGGUAGAACCAAAGAUAACAACAGCAUAGGCCAUUACAUUCCAUUAUGUCCCGGUGUUCUACUUCUACUUCUAUACAUGUCCGGGGCCAUGAAAUUAGAACAAAAGAAUCAUUGUAUAAGUAACUCAUCCUUAAAUGAUUAGACUUUGCAUACGGCUUCUUUUAAGUUUAAUUGGACCCUGUUUUAGUUGCAUAUAUAAUUGAUUAAGGUGUUGGACAGAUAGGAUGCAACUUUACUUUACUAGCUACUUUCAUUUCAUGUUUCCUAUGGUGUGAAUUUUGAAAUUGGUGGGGUAUUUGUGCACAAUUCCAUGGUGGGCACAUAUUAAGAUCCCAAUCUCUUCUAUUGACAAAGAAGGAUAGGAAUAUAACUAAUAUACAGAGAAAGGUGAGUCUUGUGCUUAUACAUUCAGGAUGUUGACUUCUUGUAAUUCUGACGUACAAUUGGUCCUUCUUAUCCUAAUUACAAUAUAUUGCUCUUGUAUUCUGUGUGUCUGAUUCUUGAGAUAUGAUGCCACCACAGAUUCGACCAAUGUUCAGUCUCCCCACUAUCAUUAAAAGCAGUAAAGGAUGCUGGGUAUGAGAAAAUGACUGUUGUGCAGGCAGCAACUCUUCCAAUUAUACUCCAAGGUUUGUCUUUUUUUCUUGGCUAUAAUAUAAUGUCAUUUAUUGUGGCUGUGUUUUGUCUAAUUGUAACAUAUCAUGUUUGCUGAUUCUGACAUACCCUGCACCUAUUCUUUUGAGAUCCUUCUUGUGUGGAGCUUAUAAUUUUGGGUGCUAUCAUUGAACUAUUUGAAGAAUCAGUAUUUAGAAUAUGGUGCUAUCCCUAAUUUUCAGCAAUUAGCAAGAAAGCAACUUAUCACAUGUUUGAUGUGAUUCUUGUAUCUGUUAAGAGUUUAUUUAUUAUUAUGGUAUUUACUCCGAUUAACUAUUAUAUCUAGGUAAGGAUGUUCUCGCCAAGGCUAGAACAGGCACCGGAAAAACAGUAGCCUUUUUGGUAAGUCUCUUAACUUAUGUUUGCCUGAGUAAAUUAUUGGUUACUCCUAGGCCUCUGUAUCAUUUGCAUUUUUCUUCACAAUUGUUUUAUGACUGACAACUACUGCAGCGUACAAAUUAUACUUAAGCUAUAUUUGGAAUAAGCGAACUACUUAUUUAGACUUCUCUGCUUGAUUCCCCUGAGCUUCAAAAUUGGAUAUCUUGUCAUGAUAUGGGGCAUAUCUUUUUCUGCGUUGUUUUUAGUUUUUGACCUUUUGUUUUCUGGGCAUGGGACUGCUUGAACGUCAACAUGCUAGCACACUUUUUUGAGCCUGAAAACAAUUGAUUGUACCUGUUGUUGUAGUGAUGGAUUAUAUUUUUGAGUUUACUUAUUAUGUUUUUUAUUCAGCUUCCAUCAAUUGAAGCUGUUGCAAAAUUACCGCCAAGUGAUCGUGAUCAAAGGCGACCACCAAUUCAUGUACUUGUCAUAUGCCCAACCAGAGAACUUGCAAGCCAAGCUGCUACAGAAGCCACUAAACUGCUGAAAUACCAUCCUACCAUUGGUGUUCAAGUUGUGAUUGGAGGCACAAGACUUGCUUUAGAGCAGAAACGCAUGCAAGCUAACCCUUGCCAGGUAAAUCCUUUUAUAACCAAUUUUUUAUUUAGUGUUUUCCCUAUAUUACUGAACAGUCUUUACUUGAAUUUUAUGUUUUUUUAUUUUAUAUGUUGUAGCCAUUACAAUUAUUAGGAUAUGAUUUAUUUAUUUUCCCUUUCAAUAAAACAUCUUAGAACCUUUUUCAUCACCAGUCAUAAGCUUUUAAACUGAUUUUCCAUCAAACAUCAACAAAAAGGAGAAACAAAUUUACACACUCGAGAGUUUAAUAGUGAUAUAGAAACUGACUCUGACAUUCACUUUUGUUAGCUAGAAGCCUUGAACCCACAUCGCCUUUGAUAUAUUAAUUUGAUUCAAGGAUUCUAUAAAAAAAUUAUUUGCUUGAAACUGUCAUUAUGAAAUUAUAAUGAUGGUUCAUGCCAGCUUGUGCAAAUAAGCAUGUUAUAGCAAACAAGUUUUCUGGACUUAACAUUAUUACUCUGUAUACUGUACAGAUCCUUGUUGCUACACCUGGAAGGCUUAGAGAUCAUGUUGAGAAUACUGCUGGUUUUGCAACUAGGCUAAUGGGUGUGAAGGUCUUGGUGCUUGAUGAAGCUGAUCAUUUACUAGACAUGGGAUUUCGCAAAGACAUCGAAAAGAUAAUUGCAGCAACCCCUAAACAACGACAAACACUUAUGUUUUCUGCCACAGUCCCAGAAGAGGUAUGUCUCUCUUGGAACCUUCUCCCUCCCUCACUUUUUAGUGUUUGGUACUUGGGUUAUAUGUUUCAUGCUUUAGAAAACUCCCAAGCUCAUUCUGAUAUGAUUGUUGUUGCGAAGGUGCGUCAAGUCUGUCAUAUUGCUUUGAGAAGGGAUCAUGAAUAUAUCAAUACAGUUGAAGAGGGUAGUGAGGAGACACAUUCAAAGGUAAUUGUUUAUAGUUUCAUCACUUCAUGCUAGUAGCUAAGAAUGUAUUUCUGUUUGUGACUUUGUGUAUGCAAAUGCACUUGCCACCAUAUAUGCCUUUAGUGCUUAUGUUCUUCUAUGUGUGGGGUUAUGGAUCAUUUCAGGUUCACCAGACACAUUUAGUUGCUACAUUAGACAAGCAUUUCUCUUUUCUCUAUACUCUUCUGAAGGAGCACAUUGCAGAUGAUGUUGAAUAUAAGGUUUGCUUCCUAAUCUGCAAGAUGCAACCAGUUGCAUUGAAUAUUUCUUUUAACUUUUUGUUGUCAUAUUUUUGGAUUAGGCUAUUGCUGCUUAGAUUCUAAAACUUACUUGGCAACAGAGGUUUUUAUUUUUAAAUUAUCACACAUGAUCUGGAAGUAUGUGUGAUAUAGCUAUUGGUUUAUUAGGUUCUUGUUUUCUGCACGACUGCUAUGGUCACAAGACUUGUUGCUGAACUUCUUGCUGAGUUGAAGUUGAAUGUGAGAGAAAUCCAUUCGAGAAAGCCUCAGAGUUAUAGAACCAGAGUCUCUGAGGAGUUUCGGAAGUCAAAGGGUAUCAUUUUAGUUACUUCCGAUGUAUCUGCACGUGGAGUUGAUUAUCCAGAUGUCACUCUUGUUAUACAGGUAAGAAAUGCAGAACUCCUUCGAUGCAUCAUCAUUGCCAUGUCGAUUAUAGCUAUCAGCCUUCUGAACCUUGCUAGCACACAUCCCAGAAGGGUUCACAUGGAUUUAUGGCCUGUUUGUAUAUUCUUUUUGCGUGAAUGCCAAUGCACAUUUGGAAGAGUGCUGAAUGCAUUCUUUGGCUGAAAGUAAAUUCCCAUUGGUGCUGCAAAGAAAGUUAAAACAAUCAGGCUAUAUAUGUUUGAUCAAACAUUUAAUAAUCAUGUAUGCUUUUAAUUUUAAUUCUCAUGUUUGCUCUGUUUGUGAAAUGUGCAGCUUGGUAUACCAGCUGAUAGGGAACAGUAUAUACAUCGACUGGGAAGAACAGGGCGAAAAGGUAAAGAAGGACAGGGCAUAUUGCUACUGGCUCCUUGGGAAGAGUUCUUUCUAUCUACUGCAAAAGAUUUACCAAUUGAGAAAGCUGCAGUACCUUCAGUUGAUCCCGAAACUACGAAAAAGGUAUCGCUUUGAUUUACAUUUUCUUGUUAUACUUUCACAAGUUCAUAACAGAAUCAAUUUGGUGGUAUGCAAUAUCAUUAACCGCAUUCUGAUGUUAACAGGUGGAAAAAGCUCUAGCUCAUGUAGAGAUGAAGAAUAAAGAAGCAGCAUAUCAGGCAUGGCUUGGUUACUACAAUUCGAACAAGAAAAUAGGGAAAGACAAGUAUAGGCUAGUGGAGCUUGCUAAUGAGUUCAGUAGAAGCAUGGGACUUGAUAACCCUCCUGCUAUUCCUAAGCUUGUUCUUGGAAAGAUGGGACUUAGAAAUAUCCCAGGUUUACGUACCAAAUAGUUUAUUUAUUCAAUUCAUUUGCUUAUUAGCCAUGUGGGACAUUUUUUUUGAUGUUAUAGAAUUGAAAUGUUACCUUAUAGUUUUAAAUUGUAAGGCUUGAAACAUCUAAAUUUCGAUUAAAUAACAUCUUUUUUUGCUUUUUGUCUGCUAUACCAAAGUCCUUUUACAUAUUAAUUUUGGUUUCAAUUGAAUUAUCUUUUUAUAACUUAAAUUGAAUUGUGAUGCCAGAUCCACUAUGUUUCAACAUACAAUGUCCUAGCUUGACAAAAUUAUUUAUAGAUUAAAACAUACUCUGUACAGGAGUUUGUUAUUUGUACGUAGUGUUACAUUAAAUGUAGUGGUGGGCCAAGAUUGAUAAUGCAACUUCUAAUUAUAAUUUUAAUCAUAUAGAACAUAGGGAAAUGAAAGUUUAAAGAGAAAAAAAUAUAUGCAAUGAUGAUGUAUGAGUUUUAUAUAUUGUCAUUAUAUCAUUUAUCCUUCGUGUUUAAUCAUCAUUAACUUUUCAAGAAAAAUAAUAUAAAUGAAUGAUGUAAAUGUAUAUAAAUUUUUACAGAAAUGGUGUAUAGAUAUUAUAUUUAAGUUUAAAUUGAUGCUAAUGAGAAAUUUCAUAUAUUAAUGUUUGAAUAUGCAAUAUAGUGGAAGUUCAAGACAUCCCUCUAGUGUAAAAGUACUUCAUCCCGUUCAAAAAUACUCUUUAACUUUUAAUGUAGGAUUCAGCCAUGAGCUUCAAAACAUGUGCCCUGAUCUUUGCUUUGACGUUUUCAUUAUUCAAUUUUAAUGUUUUAGAUGGCAAAGGACUAUUUUAUAUCAUAUCCAAAGUUUAAGGUCCCCUUUAUACAUUUUCAGAACUCAUGGACUACAUUGCAUAUCAUACAUGCAAAUUUCUUGGAUGAUUUUGGACUUUUCCCUAAAUAUAAAUAAACAAUUAAGGUAAACACCAUUUCAUUAGAUAAUGUUAUAAUGUUAACAACAAUAAACAUUAAAUAGAGCUUGAGUUUUCUUAGAACAUGUAGAAAACGAAGCACCCAAUAACGGACUAAAACAUUUGUUGUCAUCCUCACUAAUAUUUUGACCUCUGAUUAUGCUAUGAAGCGGUUCUUGGUAUCUUUAAGAAACUAAGGAUCAACUUUCAUGGAGAUCAAGAUUUCGAAGGGAAUUGAAAGAGCAAAAAGAUAACAAAAUGCACUGAACUUUCAUUAUUAGAAUAUCAUCCUAUACAAAGCAAAGUGCAAGAAUUUAUACAAUGAAAAACUUGAUUGUUACUUGAAACUCAAACUACCAUUUAAAGUAAACAUAAUCCUAACUACCAUAACCGAAUAUAAGCCAUAUUUAACAUCUCUCAAGCUGGGGAGUGAAUAUCAUUAACUCUCAGCUUGGGUAGAAGGUACCAAACGUGAAAAAUCGGAUCUUUGUCACAUCCUCCGUUAUGUCAAGAUUGGAAAUUUUUUGGUGAAGACUUGAAUACUCAAGUAAAAUUACAUGUAGCCAUGAAGUCAUCAAAUAUUGAGUGGCAAUCUUGGAGAUGAAAACCAAAAAUAUCGAGGAAUAAGAGGAAGAGAAAGAAAAUAAUGAUCCCAAAUAUGUCAUUAGAGUCUUAGAGAAAUUUCAAGAGAUAUAAGAAUUCUUCAAAAUAUAGCACAUGAAACUAGGAAUAUUGUGCUAGUAGAAUUAAUAGAAGAAAUAUAAGAAUUCUUAAAAAAAAGAAUGAAUUAAAAUUGAAAGUAGUUGUUCAUCAAGAACCAACAUAAUAGAAAAAAAGAUCAAAUGAGAUCAAUGAUAUUAUUGCUCAAGAAUACCAUAUUGAUUUCUUGGCCAAAGAAUGAAAGAAAUUUGGGCAAUACGUGCCUCAAGAAUAUCAAGAAGAAUAUGUUGAACUAUGAGCAUUUUUUUUGCUCAAGGAUAACAAGAGAGAAUUUUUUUUUUGAUGAAAUAUGAGCAACAUUUGCUCAAGAAUAACAAGAGAAUAAUAUGGGCAAUAUUUGCCUCAAAAAUAUUGAGAAGAAUUAAGAGAAAUAGAGAAUAUGAAGAUUGAAAAAGAGAAUGGUAAAUAAAGAUCAACCAAGAAGGAUAGUAAUUGUGAUUUAAGCAACGAUAAGGAUACAGAGAUGAAGGUGAACUUUUGAUCUCAACUGAAUGUUUCCACGGUCUCGAAGCACUGAAACAUCUUUGUGGAUUUGUUGAUAAUAAUCUUCUUGAAUGUAUCUAUUUGAGCCAAGAAGAAAAGAACUGGCCAGAAAAAUUUUGAUAUGCAGUGUGAGCAGGUGGAGUAUUAUCAUCACCAUCUUCAUUAUUAUGACAGUCCCAUGAGUAUCCAAUCAUUCUGACCUUCUCUCAUAUCCAAAUAUGCAAGUAGAUUGGAAAGUGAGGAAUUCACAUUGCUCUUCGUUAUAUAGAGGAUGUGACAUCUUCAAUAAUAACAUGAUGGCUAACUUCUUCAUUGGCCAUAUUGGUUGUAUAGUCUGGAGCAGAUCCAAAUAGGUUGAAGUGAGGUGAUUUGUUGUUGAGGGUGGCAGAGGGCAGUCUGUUGAUAAGGUACACAGCUGUAGUGAAAGCAUAUUCCCAGAAUGAUGGAGGUAAACCAGCAUGAGCUAAUAAAGUUAGCCCUGUUUCAACUAUAUGUGUGUGUUUUCUUUCCACUGUGCCUCGUUGAUGAUGAGUGUGGGGGCAUGACAAUCUGUGGAGGAUGCCUUGAUUGGAGAGGUAGUUAGUAAAAGGUCUGAACUCUCCCCCUCCAUCAGUUUGAACAGCCUUGAUGGUUUUGUUAAACUGAGUGAGAAUCAGUUUGGUAAAUUUUGUGAAGAUGUUAAGGGUUUCAGAUUUUUGUGUAAGUAAAAAUAUCCAAGUAUGUUUGGUUUUGGCAUCCACAAUGGAGAGAUAGUAUUUAAAACCAGAUUCAGAGAUAACUGGUGAGGGCCCCCAUAGGUCUAGAUAAAGUAAGUCAAAUGCAUUAGAAUAAGAGGUGAUGGAGUUAGGAGAGUGAAGUCUAUGGGACUUGCCAUAACAACAUGCAUUGCAAAAAUCAGGAAUUGUUUUAUUUGAAUGAGAAAUAUUACAAGUAGAGAGGACAAUGUUUAUAAUAGAGGUGUGAGCAUGCCCUAAACGACAGUGCCACAAGAAUUCAGUAGAAAAAUGCCUAGAAGUAGGACUAUCUAAUACAGGGGACUUGAACUGUCCAGUUGGAGUAGGAGUUGAGGCAUAGUAGGCUGACUUUUGUGGAAAUAGGCUCUGGAAGGCAUAGAGACCCUCAGAGGUAAGGGAUCCUUUGAGAAGAAUAGUGUUAGAACCCUGUGAUUUGACAAAACAGUCAUUAGGAUGAAACUUAAAAUAACAGUUAUUAUCUUUAGCAAAUUGGGAAACACUGAUUAGGUUCUUGGUAAUAGUAGGCACAAGAAGUAGAUUAUGUAAAGAUAAAGACAAGUGAGGGUGUAAAGGAGAGGUGAAAGUGCUUGUGCCACUGCAAGAAAUAGGUUCUUUUGUGCCAUUACCCAUGUAGAGGUGUUCAGGACCAAAUUGUUCUGUUGUUUGGUGAACCAGAGUAGGAUCUGAUGUAUUCAUUACACUUUGAUUCUUAUUGGUUAUUUGAUGCUUAAUGUUUAAUUGAGGUUGAUGCCAUUUUUGUAUGAUAUUGCAAUUAUGAAUGCAUGAAUGAAUUCUCAUUCUAAAACCUGAAUAGUUCAUCAUAUUGGUAUAAUUGCUAUACAUAAAUUUGUAUCAAUAUAUAACAUUUUGUAUGUUGUUGAUUUAGUUACUAGAUAUAAAUAUAUUUUCACAACUAAAUAAUUCUCAUAUUUAUUAACAUAGUUGCUAGAUAUAAAUGUGUGUUAAGGGAUCAUAAAUCUCCAUCUUGUUAGUACAAUUGUUAGACAUAGAGCAAUAUUAAUGAAUUACUAAUAUGACUAAUAAAUUAAAGAUUAAUACCAUCAAGGUGUUACACUAAUUAUCACUUUUACAGCAAUAUGCUAGACAUAUGACUUUGUUUGUCGAUUAUAAUUAUGAGUGUAAAGUAUGUGUAUUGACAAUGUAAAAAUUUAUACAUAGUCAGUGUAUUAUCUACCAUUUAUUUGCAAUACUUUUAUUUUAAAGUCAAUGAUAACUAAAAAUCAAUGUGGAUGAUGUAGUGACAAUAUGAAAACUUUUACACUAUCAAUGUAUAUAUCUUUUUCCCUAUAAUUAUUCAUCUUCUGAGUAGAGUUACUAAAUAGAGCUUUAUUCAUAAGCUAUUAAUUUGAAAAGACAUUAAUAUUUAAUAUUAUUGAUAUCUCAAUUUGUCCAUGAUAACAUCUUAGUUUGAUGCAUAAGUAUUGUCAAAUCGAGUAUAUAUAGAUAAUGAAUAGUAAAGUAUAAUCUCAAUAUCUUCUAUUUAAUGGUUUAUCAAAUUGUUUUUAGUUUAUUUAUGCAACCAAACCAACAAAUUACUUAUAAAAUUUUACUUAGAAUAACAAUUUUCAGCUAUACAUGACUUAUUGUCAAGCAAACCUUUGUGGAAUCAACAAUCUUUAUAUUUGUUUGUGACAACUCGAUUUAGUAAUUUAAUUGACCAAUUUGUCGGUAAGCAAUAAUAAUUGAGAAAAAGCGUACGUACUAAUACUGUAUGAGUUUUAUAUACUAUCAUUAUAUCAUUUAUCACUCAUGUUUAAUCAUCAUCAACUCUUCGAAAAAAUAAUAUAAAUGAACGAUGAAUCAUUUAUUAACUCUGAAUAAAUCUUUAUAUUGAUAAUGUAUAAAUAUUAUACUUAUACUAAUUAUAAUUAUUUGUAAAUUUUUUAUUAAUCAAAACAAUUGAUUGAUUUUGUAACUAAUUUUUUUGAUAUGUCUGAAGUUAAUUGAGCUUUUUUAUAUAUUAUAAAAUAGAGUAAAUGAAGUAUAAUGUAGAUUAUAAUUUAGGCCAUUUUGAAAUUUGAUUAUAAAUUAAAAAAAAUGUCUUAAACCCUAAUGCCUUGUUCGUACUAUCUCUAUCUCAUCCACAAAAACCCUCUCUACUCUCUUCUCAUUUUCUCUUCUUCCUUUUUCUUCUUCUUCUUCUUCUGCUACUAUGCCUACUAAGGUUCUCUUAUCUCAACUUCGCACUUCUUUCACUUUCACCAUGAACCCUCUUUCUUCACGCGCCACGCUUCCCAUUUUCUCACCCAUCUUAUUCUCUUUCAACCUCAAACACCUUCCCCUCCAAAACGCACCGUUUCAUCUUCGCCCAUUAUCCACCCACAGUAGCAGUGGUAGCAGAGGAAAGGUUCGUGCUUCCAAGAGUCUUAUUGAUGAAGAGUCUGAACUCAGUGGCUGGGUUAGCGAGUUAAGGACCGAUUCCUACCGUGGUCGACUCACCAGUGAUGAUGAUGAUAAUAGGGACUCUGUCAGAGGAAGAGGAAGUGGAAUGGGAAGAGGAAGAGGCGGAGGAAGAGGAGGAGGAAGAGGAAGGGGUGGUAGUGGUGGCGGUGGUGGUGGUAGAAUCGAUGAGUCAACUCGGA